Molecule: ribosomal RNA, 253 nt
Filed under: uncultured bacterium
Lineage: Bacteria
Description: partial 16S ribosomal RNA
Rfam family: Bacterial small subunit ribosomal RNA
Source: RNAcentral
UACGAACCGUCCAAACGUUAUUCGGAAUCAUUGGGCUUAAAGGGUACGUAGGCGGUGCCGUAAGUCGGGUGUGAAAUCCCUCGGCUCAACCGAGGAACUGCGCCCGAUACUGCGGUGCUUGAGGGAGACAGGGGUGAGCGGAACUGAUGGUGGAGCGGUGAAAUGCGUUGAUAUCAUCAGGAACACCAGUGGCGAAAGCGGCUCGCUGGGUCUCUUCUGACGCUGAGGUACGAAAGCUAGGGUAGCGAACGGG